GGGGAUGUAGCUCAGUGGUAGAGCGUUCGCUUUGCAUGCGAAAGGCCCCGGGUUCGGUCCCCGGCAUCUCCA
Non-coding RNA from Acyrthosiphon pisum (pea aphid), 72 nucleotides. NCBI's taxonomy places the organism in Eukaryota, Metazoa, Arthropoda, Insecta, Hemiptera, Aphididae. The record is from Rfam.